AUACGUAUGUCGCAAGCAUUAUCCGGAUUUAUUGGGCGUAAAGCGCGUCUAGGCGGCUUAGUAAGUCUGAUGUGAAAAUGCGGGGCUCAACCCCGUAUUGCGUUGGAAACUGCUAAACUAGAGUACUGGAGAGGUAGGCGGAACUACAAGUGUAGAGGUGAAAUUCGUAGAUAUUUGUAGGAAUGCCGAUGGGGAAGCCAGCCUACUGGACAGAUACUGACGCUAAAGCGCGAAAGCGUGGGUAGCAAACAGGAUUAGAUACCCUGGUAGUCCACGCCGUAAACGGUGAUUACUAGGUGUUGGGGGUCGAACCUCAGCGCCCAAGCUAACGCGAUAAGUAAUCCGCCUGGGGAGUACGUACGCAAGUAUGAAACUCAAAGGAAUUGACGGGG
Molecule: ribosomal RNA, 392 nt
Filed under: uncultured bacterium
Lineage: Bacteria
Description: partial 16S ribosomal RNA
Rfam family: Bacterial small subunit ribosomal RNA
Source: RNAcentral